UUUAAUUAUAUGUGACGUCGUCAGCGAAAAUCAGUCUUGUGUACGCUGACGUUUAUGUCGGGAAAUCGCGAGAUAAAAAUCUUGUACGAAAAUGCGCUGGAUAUUUCGUCUUUUUCAUACAAUUUCUCGGCUCAUAAUUUAUGGCAUGCUUUGAAAAUUUCCACAAUAUAGCAUGAAUAUGUCCUUUAAACACUGGCACAAUUGGUGGUUUGUAAUCCGCUUAUUUAAUUCAAAUUAUUCCCCUUGAAAGACACUGUUUCGUUUGAGCAGUUCACAGGAAGCGCAACCUGUCUCGUAGUGUUCAUUUUCAAUGGCUAUUCAACGCUGUAAAUCAAAAUGACAUCGUGUACUAAUGGAUGUCUUCAAUCGAAGAAGGUUCGGAAAUGAUAUAUCCACAUGCUUAAAAUAGGUUGGGAAGUUAUUUUUCAAGACCCUGAGGAAGUGUUAGGUGUAUGGAAUCAGCUGUGAAGGAUCUGGAAAGCAGGUGUUUUACCUCGCAGACGAAGGCCAGUCACAUGGUAAAGAUGUAAAUGCUGUGGUCAGCAAGGUUCACCACUACCUGAACACAUACGGUCUUGGCGAACAUCAUGCUCACUUUCAGUGUGAUAACUGUUGCGGCCAAAAUAAAAACAACAUAGUCAUCUGGUAUCUUCUGUGAAGAGUUCUUGUAGGUUUACACAGAAUCAUCACACUAAGCUUUAUGUUGAUAAGACAUACAAAGUUUACACCAGUCAGAUUGGCACUUUGGCAUCUGGAAGUCAAAGUGGAGAAACUUCAAUGCAGAAAUGUUGUCUGAUGUUGCUGCGUCUGUGGGGUUAUCGUCAAGGACGAGCCACAACAUCCCCCAGCUUGUGGGGGACUCUUCCAAUCCUGUUGUUAUCUAAGACAGGAAGGAUUACCUUACGACAUUGUUUCACCACAUAAAGAAUGUCACCAAAUUUCAUCAAUUUCCAUGUGUCAGCGGAGCAUGCCGGUGUUGUGGAAUGCAGGGAAUUUAGUGACUCACCAGUAGUCAGAAUCACUCUCAGGAAGGUCUCGAAAGUGAAUUUUAAUGUGAGCUGUGACAACCUGCCAUAAGAAAUGUUUGCGAAAGGGCUUGAUCUGGACCAUCAGUGGUGUUUAUUUGAAAACAUUCGUGAAUUCUGUCGCAUAGAUGAAUAAAAAACUUGACAUGUCCGAAACGCGCUACUGGUGAGCAACAAAAAACAGACUGUGCCCCCCAAAAAAGAAGAUGCAUUAAGAUGCGCAUCUGAUCUUCUCUGAUAGUGCCACAACAAUUACAUACAUCAUGUAUCAGUGUUUAUUUUGGCCAAGGUAUUGGGUGAUAUAUUUUCCCCCAAACAAUGCAAAAAAUCCUCUAUUCCUAGGAAAGCUAAAACAUGUAUACGAUUGCUAAAUGUGUCAGUUGAUACAGGUUUUGAAAUGUUCAAUGCAAACGUUUGUUCUAAUUGCACAAGCUUGUUUUCAAGUUUUUUAUAUCUCAUAUUUACAAAACAAAAAUCAUUUUUUCCAUGUAACCAUGCAAUUGUUUUCUCCUUAUGGACACAGACUGCCUUUCCGAAAAACUGGAAAAAAAAUCAGUGUGAAUAUUGUAUUUAUUUAAGUUUUACAAUGGAAAUCCUAUAUUAUUGCUUGUUUGCUACAUUGUUUCCAUAGUAACAAAAACAAACAAUUUUUAUGUUUAAGUUAUUGUUUAUUUUGUCUAUUUUUCUCUAUCAGUAAUAAUGAUAAAAAAUGAUUAUUUCAUUUACUGAAACAUUUAGUAUCCAAGUGUACUUUCAACCAACACUUUUCAAUGCUGUGUUUUUCCAUUCUGUUGUGUUUGAGGUUACAUUAUACUUAAAUACACAUGUAACUGAAUAAAAAAAGGAAAUUGUUCAUGGAACACACAAAUUAUUGAUUGUUAAUGUUUAACUAGUUACAAAACAGUUAAAUUAAUGUUGUGUUUGCCUUUAAACAAACACUUGAUUGAAAAUACAAUUCAUAGAUUUAUAAAAGGCGUGAUUGUGUGCUCUGGUGAUUAUUAACAUGUAGAUCGGUUACCAUAGCAACACAAAUGGUACAUUUUAAAUGUCCAUAAUGCUGUUGUCAGUUUAUUGCACUAUAAUUAUGUAUUUGACUAAAGGAAAGAUUAUUGUUUUAAUAAAACAAUGUGCUUGUUGUU
Long non-coding RNA from Dreissena polymorpha, 2164 nucleotides. RefSeq lists it as uncharacterized. Lineage: Eukaryota; Metazoa; Mollusca; Bivalvia; Myida; Dreissenidae. The record is from RefSeq and is a predicted model, not a curated record. The transcript is spliced from 5 exons.